Molecule: RNA transcript, 5030 nt
Organism: Daucus carota subsp. sativus
Lineage: Eukaryota; Viridiplantae; Streptophyta; Magnoliopsida; Apiales; Apiaceae
Gene name: RING-H2 finger protein ATL46
Exons: 2
Source: RefSeq, a predicted model, not a curated record
ACUCAUACUCAUGGGUGAAUACUUGGUUUGGCUUUUCAUCACUAGAAAACAACAAAACGGGUGUCACUGCCCAGUCUUUGCCUUGCCCUUCUUCUUCAGACACAACACAAACACAAACAUUUCUAUCUCAUCAUAUAAUACCACCUGCAAUACAUAUAUGUAACUAUAUCUGUGUGUCACAAUUGAAAGAGACACACAAAGUCUCAAAGUCAAUAUACUCAAGGCCAGUUUCUUGGGAUUUUCAAUCUUCAUUUUUUCUUAUAAGGCCUUGUGUUUAAGGGGUUUGCUGAUGCAGCAAAGGUGUAACAGAUCAAGAAUCUAUUGUUUCAAGACAGGUGAGUGAAAAAAUCAUUCCUUUUUAUAAGUUCUUUCAUUCAUUCUUGCACAAUCAGUGACUUGGGUCUUUGACUUGUCAUAAAGAUUCAGUUUAGACUACUCUUUUAAUGGCUACAUAUAUGAUACUAGCAAAUUUUGUGGCAUGACUUAGGGCUAUAAUCAAUGGAAUAUGCAAGUGUUUGUUGUUGGUAAUCUUGAUAUAUAAAGAUUUGACCUUUGGGAUUUCAAGCUGUGCAAUGUCAGAGGUCAGAUACCAAAGAUGGCUUUUUGAGCAUACCCACAUGAAAGUUUCUUGGAUUAAGUAUUCAAUUAAGCAGAAAGAUGAAAUCUUGACAUACCCACCUCCAGUUUAUCCUCUACCUUCAUCUCCUUAUGGUACUUCUAUUGCUUUCCAUAAACAACCACCUGCUUCACCUUCAUCUUCCCCUAAAAUUAAUCCUGCUGUUCUUUUCAUUAUUGUGAUUUUAGCUGUCUUGUUUUUUAUAUCUGGGCUUCUGCAUUUGCUAGUUAGAUUUUUGACAAAACACCAAUCUUCGACAUCGUCGCAGUCGGAUAGAGUUGAGGUGUCUUCUAGAUCAGAUGCUCUUGAAAGACAGCUACAACAAUUGUUCCAUUUACAUGACUCGGGUUUGGAUCAAGCUUUUAUUGAUGCUUUGCCUGUGUUUAUGUACAAGGAGGUUGUGGGUUCGAAAGAACCGUUUGAUUGUGCUGUUUGUUUGUGUGAGUUUACUGAUAAGGAUAAAUUGAGAUUGCUUCCGACUUGUAGUCAUGCGUUUCAUAUUAGUUGUAUUGAUACAUGGCUGCUUUCAAACUCGACAUGCCCUCUUUGUCGAGGGACACUUUUCAGUCCUGGAUUCUCAGUUGAAAAUCCAAUGUUUGAUUUUGAUGAUCCAAACGAUGAUGAGUGUCAUGGUAAUAGAAGAUAUGCAUUAUCUUCCAAUCAGAAAACUGUUGAAAUUGAGGAAAUUGCAGUCGAAUCUGGCGUUCUACCUGUUAGACUUGGUAAGUUUAGAAAGUUGGAUGGGUCGGACAGCGCGGGAGGGGAGACUAGUAGUAGCAAUUUAGAUGCAAGAAGGUGCUACUCAAUGGGUUCAUAUCAGUAUGUGGUUGCUGAUACAAGUCUUGAGGUAGCAUUGAACAAUGUAAGAGAUGGUAGUGAUGCGAAACUUGUAAAAAGUAAGGAAUGCAGCCAUAGUUCUUUUCCUGAUGGGGACAACAACGGGAAAAAGAUUAGUAUUGGGACAAAAACCGACAGCUAUUCUGUUUCAAAGAUAUGGCAAUGGUCUAAGAAAGGCCAAUUUUCAGGUUCUUCAAACACUCAAUUGGAUUAUCCUUCCUCUCUUGAUCACGAACUUCCAUGGAUGAGGAAAACUGAAGGUAUAUGAAAAUUAUAAUAUUUACUUUUUACUGAUUAAUGAUCAGACAGAUUAUUUAACCAACUGAGCUUCCUGACAUUUAAAUUUAAAUCGUAUUUGUGUGUAGCUCACCGCUAGGUCAAACCUUUUAUCCAUAGUUUAAAUAGAACUUACCAACCGGUCUGAUUUGUAAAGGUACUUUCAAGUUUAAGUUUUGAUAUGGUUACAUGACAAAUAUAUAGAAUGCAAUCUUCUUGUUGAGAGAACCUUUAAAUCAUCAUAUUGGCUGGUUAUAUGUGUUAGGGUCCCCCAGAUAACUUGAAUAAUGUGUUUGGGACAUAGUCUUGUAGCUUCUGCUGUUGUUAAGUUACACCAACUGCAGAACAUGACCUACCAAGAGAGAGCCGCAAGGCUUAUAUAUAAGUGAGCUCAAGUAACAAAAAAAAAUAAAACUGUCUCAUAGUAGCUGACCAAAGAUUCCAAAUGUUGUUCUUCAACCGCAAUUAGUUAGAGAUAUUUUUGGCAACAGUUUCUGAUCAAACCUAAAUAGACAUCAAAUUUUGAAAAUCAAAUUCCUCUCAUAGAUCUGAACCAAGAAAUUCUCUUAUGUUGUAAAACAAGAUUCUUAUCAUGCGUAGUAUUGGCAUUAAAUUCUUUUUUUGUAUGAUGGUCGAUUGUAAAAAAAUAUGAUAUUCGCACUUGAUCCGCUUGGGCGUCGAGGCCCUCGACCCUUGUUCCGAGAAGUGUAUCCACUGUUUAUGAUGCUAAAUUAUAUCACGUUAAGAAUUCCAUGUUGUUAAGUAGGAUUAAAAGCUUUCGCAAAUCUUGAUCUCAAAUGUCUAAAUAAGCUUUAGGAUGGUCAACAACUUCUUUUGCUUGCACAUUUCUCCUCAAUCUUAGCUUUGCUUUUCAUUGUUGAUCUCCUUUUUAUCUUAUUGUUGUUUGUGACCAUGCCUUUUGUUAUAGUCAUAUAGUGGGAGCCAAGCACCAUGUUUGGCAUCUUUUUUUAUUGUGGGAUCCAUGAUGACAGUGAGGAAAUUUGACCAUUUCUACUAAUUUUAAAUAGUUAGUGUUAGCUUUGAUGUGCUCAUGAUGCCCUCUAUCCCUUUUUUUUGACUAUAUAUAUACUGUCAUGUGUAAAUUCCAAGUUCAUAUAAUGAUUUUCAAGUUUAAUGUGUGGAUUUAUACCUAGAUCUCCACAUUGGUUUCAACUUUUAGUAGGGUCAAGAUUUACUUACCUAAAAAAUAUUAAAUGAUUUGAGAUACAAUAUGUAAAGAAUAAAAAAAGGGAAGUAUAAUAAACCAAUUGGUUCCCUAUUUCUGCAAGUACACAUAUGUAAAGCUUUGGGCUUCUGCUAGAACAUCUCUGUCAUGGCUAUGGCUUAUUUAAGCAACAGUUUCAAUUAUUAGUUGUUGGGGAGUUUAUGUUAUUUGUUUAAUAAUGUUUUUCUAAACUCAGAAAGAUAUUAGAUUAUGAGAUGGUUAAAUCAGUCUCAUAAACAUUUCCACAAAAAAUGACUAAUUGUUUGUUGAUAUUAGUUUUAGAACCUUAAUGAAAUUUGUGGUCUUGCUGCUUAUGAGUUAUAUUUUACAUUGGUACUUUGACAUGCAACCAAGCAAUUUAAUAAUAAAAUAUUAUCAAUCAAACACGACUACAAUAUACGGUUUCUGUAUAUUUGUAUAAAAGUAUUGUUUUGGUUCAGCUGAGUAUUUUAAAACAGAGUACUAAUCAGAGUUCAGCGAUAUAUUCCCAGUUACUCGGAUUUAGCUAGAAUGGUCUGAUAUGGAUAUGUGUGUGGACUCAGUUAGAAAUGUCUAAGUAUCUAUGUAUCAGGCUCGGUAGUAUUUUGAAAAUUUUUAUAUAUUUUUGGUCUAAAAUAAAUGUAUAUGUCCGACACAGAUACUUUGAAGUAAAAUUAAAUGUAUGAGUAACAUAAAUUCUAAUUAUAAAAUAUUAUACGAGUAAUAAUCUAAAAUAAGUGUAUAUGUCUGAUACGGAUACUUUGAGAUAAAAUUAAGAGUACGAGUAACAUAGAUUUCAAUUAUGAAAUAUUAUACUGUAUUAAUAAUCUGAAUAUAUAAUUUUCAAUUAAUACUUCAUUUAAAUAAUGUCACUGAAUAUAUGCCUAAAAAUAUAAUUUCUAUUCAAAGGGUCCACUAUCAAACAUGUAAAGGUGAUCAUCAAAAAAAAAUGUUACGUUGGUAUUAAAGAUAUCGGAUUCGAUGGAGCAGAAAAUAUUCGAAACUGUAGGUGAUACUCGCAAAUUUAUAACAGAGAGUUCGCUCCCGUAAAAUUAACGAACGUUACAAACUUAUUCAAAAAUAUUGACGACUUGCCAGAUGAACAAGGGGUACAAAUGCUAUAAGAGAUCUUAAAGACACCUAAUUAAACCGCCUCAAAUAAAAUUACACCUAAUUAAAACAGGAUCGAAUAAAAACUGCGUAGAUAUUUUGAAUUUGGUUUUGAUUUCCGAAAAUUUUAAAACAGGAUACAAAUCGAACCGACUGCAAUAAUAUUUUUAUUUAUUUAUUUUAUAUAUUUAAAUUAUAUCUAUUAUAUAUUAUAAUUAUGUAUAUGACUAUAUAUGCGUUCUGUCAUUUUCUUAUCAUCAGUGUCACGUUUUUGAGGCAAUAAAGACCGUAAAUCUUGAUUUUCAAGCAUGGAUAUAGGAAUACUGUAAAUCAUACUGUACAAAAGAUGUUGCAAGAAUCUGAUGAAAUUUUAAGUAAGCAAUUUAGAACCGCAAGCAUCAUAUUUUCAUUAGUGAUAACAUAUUUAGAUCAUGUUUGAUGGGCUUAAAAUAAAUUACUUAUGCUUUAAAGUUGGUUUAUGUGGUUUUAAGUUAAAUGUGAAAGUUUAGACUUUAAGUUACAUGUGAGUGUUUGGGUAUUUAAACUUAAAAUUAAUCAUCCUCUCCCUCUCCCCCCUCUCUCCCUCUCCUCUCUCUCUCUCUCUCCCCAGUACAAUUACCUCAGCACAAAUCAAUAUCCGAUUUUCAACCUAUUGUUCUAAAACCCCGCAAGUGAGAAAUCCUCUCUCCCUCCCUCCUCUCUCAAUUUCUCUGAUGAAAACUAUGAUAUGUAUAGUCAUCAACGCAUCACUAGAAAUGGUGUCCGAGUCAACGGAGGUUAUGAGUCCGAAUGCUCACAGCUGUCAAAGCUCAUAUCUACAGAAAUACAAUUAAAAACAAGAAAAACAGGUAGCAUGAUCAUACAAGAUGGGACGUUUCUCUUUUCGGACAUUAAGUAUUAUUGUCUAAACUUCCGGAGACAUUUUCAUGUCUUUCGGUUAGAUAAUAAGCUUUUUGAAUGAAAGAAACUCCUCGGAGUAUUGUUGUA